This 429-nucleotide ribosomal RNA is filed under the name Bacteroidota bacterium. RNAcentral's name for it is "Bacteroidetes bacterium partial 16S ribosomal RNA". It matches the Rfam family "Bacterial small subunit ribosomal RNA", at positions 355 to 776 of the family's 1533-position model. Lineage: Bacteria; Pseudomonadati; Bacteroidota. The record is from RNAcentral.
UAGGGAAUCUUCCGCAAUGGACGCAAGUCUGACGGAGCAACGCCGCGUGAGUGAAGAAGGAUCUCGGUUCGUAAAACUCUGUUGUUAGAGAAGAACAGCGCAUAGAGUAACUGUUAUGCGUGUGACGGUAUCUAACCAGAAAGCCACGGCUAACUACGUGCCAGCAGCCGCGGUAAGACGUAGGUGGCAAGCGUUGUCCGGAUUUAUUGGGCGUAAAGCGAGCGCAGGCGGUCAAUUAAGUCUGAUGUGAAAUCCCCCGGCUCAACCGGGGAGGGUCAUUGGAAACUGAUUGACUUGAGUGCAGAAGAGGAGAGUGGAAUUCCAUGUGUAGCGGUGAACAGCGUAGAUAUAUGGAGGAACACCAGUUCCGAAGACGACUCUCUGGUCUGUAACUGACGCUGAGGCUCGAAAGCGUGGGUAGCAAACAGG